ACGAGGAAUCAAAAAAAGGUUAACAAUUUGGAUCAUUUUGGAAGAUACAUACGCCGCGCUUUUCAAAGCGGACAGACGUGCCCUUGUCCAACUGAAACGAACACACGUGUCCUGUUGAACUUGAAAAAAGACGAAAUUAUUUUUAAAAAGGUAUAUUGUUGCUAAAUAAUAGAUUUUUUUUUAAUUGAAAUAUUUGACAGAUCAUGGUAACUCGUGAAGCAACAUCUCAGAAUUGAAUCGGCGAGUUGUGUAUUUGCUGGCAAUCCGAGCCUGCUUGGAUCAUUUUGGAAGAUACAUACGCCUGCGCUUUUCAAAGCGGACAGACGUGCCCGUGUCCAACUUGACAAAGGCGGAAUUAUUUUAGGAAAGGUAUAUUAUUUGUAAAAAAAAUAUACAAUUUUUAAGUAACAUAUUUGACAGACCAUGGCAACUAGUAAAGCAGAAUCCGAGAAUUCAAUCGGCGGCUGUAUGUUGACUGACAAGAAUAUAAUUGCUGUUAAUCCGGCCCUGCUUCUUGUACAAAUGCAUAGUGGGGAGACAUGAACAUUUUUCGAAAUUGCGGCCCUAUCCUCUUGGGAUUCUACGUUGGACAAAUUCUGAAAACGACCCAGAAAUAUAAUUGGAGGUUCAAACCCGUGCGAGGUGAGGUUUGAUAUAUGAAACAGACCAGUCAUGGGGACACGAGAUAUGCAAAGUUUCAGCGUAGUCGUCGCCACAUUGCUGCCAACACUGCAUAUAUAAGGAAUCACGAACCAUUCAGGAAUAUUGAGACUUAGACCAGUAUCUUUUUAAGUAGGCAUGUGGGGUAAAGAAGACGCAGAAGCUUCAGUCGGGUACCAUCGGUAACGUAGGCGAUUAAUAUAUUUCCACCACUACAUAUGUUGGAUUGGAAUUUCCCAUUUGAUGCUUUGACUGACUAAAUGAGGAAACUUGGAGGUAAGCUCUUACGGAAUUCUAUCGAAAUAUGUUUAGUAACAUAUUGGUGCAUUACUCUGUCUUCCAGUCAGUUUCACAUAAACUUUGCACGUAUUAUAGAAAUGCCACCUACUUUUUUUGUGUUAAUAUUAUUGAAAGUAGUAGCUGGUAGCUGUAGUCGUAAGCCCAGAGAGUCUCUGUUUUGAACAUAAUACACAAAAUGGGGCGUUCAAAAACAAUAGACUGCAUGC
Molecule: long non-coding RNA, 1166 nt
Organism: Cylas formicarius (sweet potato weevil)
Lineage: Eukaryota; Metazoa; Arthropoda; Insecta; Coleoptera; Brentidae
Exons: 3
Source: RefSeq, a predicted model, not a curated record